RNAcentral lists this unclassified non-coding RNA (413 nucleotides) under Hevea brasiliensis (rubber tree). Lineage: Eukaryota; Viridiplantae; Streptophyta; Magnoliopsida; Malpighiales; Euphorbiaceae. The record is from RNAcentral.
GGGAAAGCCAAGAUCGUGAAGUCUGACAAAAGGGAGAAAAACAGUUCACAGACUUUAGAUGCUGCAUCAAAGAGCAGAAUAUUGUCCAUGAUGAAAGACGUUAAAUCCUCCAUAACUAUGGAGAAAAUAGUGAAGCAGAAAGUACCCACAACACACACAUACUCGUCAAAAUUUGACAAGUCUAUUACCUUGGGGAAAGUUGAGGGUUCCGUUGAGGCUAUUCGUGCAGCUUUACAAAUAUUAGAUGGAGGGGGCAAAGUCGAAGAUGCAAGAGCUGUCUGUGAGCCUGGGCUUCUUGCUCAGAUAAUGAAGUGGAGGGGCAAGCUCCGAGUAUAUCUUGCUCCAUUUCUAUAUGGCAUGCGCUAUACGUCCUAUGGUCGCCACUUUACUAAAGUGGAGAAGCUUAGAGAGAU